This 253-nucleotide ribosomal RNA is filed under the name uncultured bacterium. Its description in RNAcentral is "partial 16S ribosomal RNA". It matches the Rfam family "Bacterial small subunit ribosomal RNA", at positions 524 to 776 of the family's 1533-position model. The record is from RNAcentral.
UACGGAGGGGGCUAGCGUUGUUCGGAAUUACUGGGCGUAAAGCGCACGUAGGCGGAUAUUUAAGUCAGGGGUGAAAUCCCGGGGCUCAACCCCGGAACUGCCUUUGAUACUGGGUAUCUGGAGGUCGAGAGAGGCGAGUGGGAUUCCGAGUGUAGAGGUGAAAUUCGUAGAUAUUCGGAGGAACACCAGUGGCGAAGGCGGCUCGCUGGCUCGAUACUGACGCUGAGGUGCGAAAGCGUGGGGAGCAAACAGG